AUGCAAGUCGAACGGUAACAGGAAGCAGCUUGCUUCUUUGCUGACGAGUGGCGGACGGGUGAGUAAUGUCUGGGAAACUGCCUGAUGGAGGGGGAUAACUACUGGAAACGGUAGCUAAUACCGCAUAACGUCGCAAGACCAAAGAGGGGGACCUUCGGGCCUCUUGCCAUCGGAUGUGCCCAGAUGGGAUUAGCUUGUUGGUGGGGUAACGGCUCACCUAGGCGACGAUCCCUAGCUGGUCUGAGAGGAUGACCAGCCACACUGGAACUGAGACACGGUCCAGACUCCUACGGGAGGCAGCAGUGGGGAAUAUUGCACAAUGGGCGCAAGCCUGAUGCAGCCAUGCCGCGUGUAUGAAGAAGGCCUUCGGGUUGUAAAGUACUUUCAGCGGGGAGGAAGGGAGUAAAGUUAAUACCUUUGCUCAUUGACGUUACCCGCAGAAGAAGCACCGGCUAACUCCGUGCCAGCAGCCGCGGU
This 477-nucleotide ribosomal RNA is filed under the name Escherichia coli. RNAcentral describes it as "bacterial SSU rRNA". It matches the Rfam family "Bacterial small subunit ribosomal RNA", at positions 55 to 521 of the family's 1533-position model. Lineage: Bacteria; Pseudomonadati; Pseudomonadota; Gammaproteobacteria; Enterobacterales; Enterobacteriaceae. The record is from RNAcentral.